GAUGAACGCUGGCGGCGUGCCUAAUACAUGCAAGUCGAGCGAACAGACGAGGAGCUUGCUCCUUUGACGUUAGCGGCGGACGGGUGAGUAACACGUGGAUAACCUACCUAUAAGACUGGGAUAACUUCGGGAAACCGGAGCUAAUACCGGAUAAUAUAUUGAACCGCAUGGUUCAAUAGUGAAAGACGGUUUUGCUGUCACUUAUAGAUGGAUCCGCGCCGCAUUAGCUAGUUGGUAAGGUAACGGCUUACCAAGGCAACGAUGCGUAGCCGACCUGAGAGGGUGAUCGGCCACACUGGAAUUGAGACACGGUCCAGACUCCUACGGGAGGCAGCAGUAGGGAAUCUUCCGCAAUGGGCGAAAGCCUGACGGAGCAACGCCGCGUGAGUGAUGAAGGUCUUCGGAUCGUAAAACUCUGUUAUUAGGGAAGAACAAAUGUGUAAGUAACUAUGCACGUCUUGACGGUACCUAAUCAGAAAGCCACGGCUAACUACGUG
This 497-nucleotide ribosomal RNA is filed under the name uncultured bacterium. RNAcentral describes it as "partial 16S ribosomal RNA". It matches the Rfam family "Bacterial small subunit ribosomal RNA", at positions 28 to 507 of the family's 1533-position model. The record is from RNAcentral.